This 1041-nucleotide ribosomal RNA is filed under the name uncultured bacterium. RNAcentral describes it as "bacterial SSU rRNA". It matches the Rfam family "Bacterial small subunit ribosomal RNA", at positions 8 to 1056 of the family's 1533-position model. The record is from RNAcentral.
AGAGUUUGAUCCUGGCUCAGGACGAACGUUGGCGGCGCGCUUAAUGCAUGCAAGUCGAGGGAGAAGCGUUGGUUCCGUAAGGUUCCGACGUGGAAACCGGCGAACGGGUGCGUAACACGUGAGAAACCUGCCCCCCAGACCGGGAUAGCCCAGGGAAACUUGGAUUAAUACCGGAUACUCUCUCGGGACCGCAUGGUCCCUUGAGGAAAUGGUCCGCUGCUGGGGGAUGGUCUCGCGGCCUAUCAGGUUGUUGGUGAGGUAACGGCUCACCAAGCCGAAGACGGGUAGCUGGUCUGAGAGGACGAUCAGCCACACUGGAACUGAGACACGGUCCAGACUCCUACGGGAGGCAGCAGCAGGGAAUAUUGCACAAUGGGCGAAAGCCUGAUGCAGCGACGCCGCGUGCGGGAUGAAGGCCUUCGGGUUGUAAACCGCUUUCAGGAGGGAAGAAACUGACGGUACCUCCAGAAGAAGCUCCGGCCAACUACGUGCCAGCAGCCGCGGUAAUACGUAGGGAGCGAACGUUGUCCGGAAUUAUUGGGCGUAAAGGGCUCGUAGGCGGUUCAACAAGUCGGUCGUGAAAGCCCGGGGCUCAACCCCGGGACGCCGGUCGAAACUGUUGUGACUUGAGUUCGGUAGAGGUGAGUGGAAUUCUCAGUGUAGCGGUGGAAUGCGCAGAUAUUGAGAGGAACACCAUUAGCGAAGGCGGCUCACUGGGCCGAUACUGACGCCGAGGAGCGAAAGCGUGGGGAGCAAACAGGAUUAGAUACCCUGGUAGUCCACGCCGUAAACGAUGAACACUAGGUGUAGCGGACCGAUUCACGUCUGCUGCGCCGUAGCUAACGCAUUAAGUGUUCCGCCUGGGGAGUACGGCCGCAAGGCUAAAACUCAAAGGAAUUGACGGGGCCCCGCACAAGCGGCGGAGCAUGCGGCUUAAUUCGAUGCAACCCGAAGAACCUUACCUGGGUUUGACAUCAUGGGUCUAGCUGUGGAAACACAGUGUGCUUACGCGCCCAUGACAGGUGGUGCAUGGCUGUCGUC